CGCUGGUCGAGAGUUGUUGUCAUUUUCUUGAUGAGCCCAAGGUAGGACGCAACUAGUG
RNAcentral lists this non-coding RNA (58 nucleotides) under Helianthus annuus (common sunflower). Lineage: Eukaryota; Viridiplantae; Streptophyta; Magnoliopsida; Asterales; Asteraceae. The record is from RNAcentral.